Molecule: ribosomal RNA, 425 nt
Filed under: uncultured bacterium
Lineage: Bacteria
Description: bacterial SSU rRNA
Rfam family: Bacterial small subunit ribosomal RNA
Source: RNAcentral
UGGGGAAUAUUGGACAAUGGGCGCAAGCCUGAUCCAGCCAUGCCGCGUGUGUGAAGAAGGCCUUCGGGUUGUAAAGCACUUUUGUACGGGAAGAAACGCGAUCGGUUAAUACCCGGUCGAACUGACGGUACCGUAAGAAUAAGCACCGGCGAACUUCGUGCCAGCAGCCGCGGUAAUACGUAGGGUCCGAGCGUUAUCCGGAAUCAUUGGGCGUAAAGAGCUCGUAGGCGGUUCAGCAAGUCGGCUGUGAAAGUCCGAGGCUCAACCUCGGAAUUGCAGUCGAUACUGCUGUGACUCGAGUCCGGUAGAGGAGAAUGGAAUUCCCGGUGUAGCGGUGAAAUGCGCAGAUAUCGGGAGGAACACCAGUAGCGAAGGCGGUUCUCUGGGCCGGCACUGACGCUGAGGAGCGAAAGCGUGGGGAGCAA